RNAcentral lists this ribosomal RNA (253 nucleotides) under uncultured bacterium. Its description in RNAcentral is "partial 16S ribosomal RNA". It matches the Rfam family "Bacterial small subunit ribosomal RNA", at positions 524 to 776 of the family's 1533-position model. The record is from RNAcentral.
UACAGAGGGUGCAAGCGUUAAUCGGAAUUAUUGGGCGUAAAGCGUACGUAGGCGGUCACGUAAGUCAGAUGUGAAAUCCCCGGGCUUAACCUGGGAACUGCAUUUGAAACUGCGAGACUAGAGUAGGAUAGAGGAAGGCGGAAUUUCCGGUGUAGCGGUGAAAUGCGUAGAGAUCGGAAGGAACACCAGUGGCGAAGGCGGCUUUCUGGAUUCAUACUGACGCUGAGGUACGAAAGCGUGGGGAGCAAACAGG